RNAcentral lists this non-coding RNA (79 nucleotides) under Paenibacillus sp. VT-400. The record is from RNAcentral. Lineage: Bacteria; Bacillati; Bacillota; Bacilli; Caryophanales; Paenibacillaceae.
CAAGACCAAAUAGGAAUCCAUUAGGCAUGGCCCAUGCUGGAUUCGGGUAGGUCGCUUGAGCGCAUGAGUGAUUGUGCGC